UUUGACCUCAAAUCAGGUAGGACUACCCGCUGAACUUAAGCAUAUCAAUAAGCGGAGGAAAAGAAACUAACAAGGAUUCCCCUAGUAACUGCGAGUGAAGCGGGAAAAGCUCAAAUUUAAAAUCUGGUAGUCCUCUGGCUGCCCGAGUUGUAAUCUAGAGAAGUAUUAUCCGCGCUGGACCGUGUAUAAGUGUCCUGGAAUGGACCAUCAUAGAGGGUGAGAAUCCCGUCUUUGACACGGACUCCCAGGGCUUUGUGAUGUGCUCUCAAAGAGUCGAGUUGUUUGGGAAUGCAGCUCUAAAUGGGUGGUAAAUUCCAUCUAAAGCUAAAUAUUGGCGAGAGACCGAUAGCGAACAAGUACCGUGAGGGAAAGAUGAAAAGAACUUUGGAAAGAGAGUUAAACAGUACGUGAAAUUGCUGAAAGGGAAACGCUUGAAGUCAGUCGCGUUGGCUGGGGAUCAACCUUGCUUUUGCUUGGCUUACUUCCCAGUUGACGGGUCAGCAUCAGUUUUGACCGGUGGAUAAAGG
This 527-nucleotide ribosomal RNA is filed under the name Termitomyces sp. Y1O. RNAcentral describes it as "eukaryotic LSU rRNA". It matches the Rfam family "Eukaryotic large subunit ribosomal RNA", at positions 1 to 525 of the family's 3401-position model. Lineage: Eukaryota; Fungi; Basidiomycota; Agaricomycetes; Agaricales; Lyophyllaceae. The record is from RNAcentral.